This 336-nucleotide ribosomal RNA is filed under the name Triticum aestivum (bread wheat). RNAcentral describes it as "partial small subunit ribosomal RNA". The record is from RNAcentral. Lineage: Eukaryota; Viridiplantae; Streptophyta; Magnoliopsida; Poales; Poaceae.
AUGAAGUGGCGCCAAGCUUCUGGCAUUCUCUGUGACAAGAGAGUGCCACAAAAGCUAAAACGCAAGUUCUACAGGACGGCGAUUCGACCCGCAAUGUUGUAUGGCGCUGAGUGUUGGCCGACUAAAAGGCGACAUGUUCAACAGUUAGGUAUGGCGGAGAUGUGUAUGUUGAGAUGGAUGUGUGGCCACACGAGGAAGGGUCGAGUUCGGAAUGAUGAUAUACGAGAUAGUGUUGGGGUAGCACCAAUUGAAGAGAAGCUUGUCCAACAUCGUUUGAGAUGGUUUGGGCAUAUUCAGCGCAGGCCUCCAGAAGCUUCGGUGCAUAGUGGACGGCUA